AUUUGCAUAUCAAAAGCGGAGGAAAAGAAACCAACUGGGAUUACCUUAGUAACGGCGAGUGAAGCGGUAAAAGCUCAAAUUUGAAAUCUGGUACUUUCAGUGCCCGAGUUGUAAUUUGUAGAAUUUGUCUUUGAUUAGGUCCUUGUCUAUGUUCCUUGGAACAGGACGUCAUAGAGGGUGAGAAUCCCGUUUGGCGAGGAUACCUUUUCUCUGUAAGACUUUUUCGAAGAGUCGAGUUGUUUGGGAAUGCAGCUCAAAGUGGGUGGUAAAUUCCAUCUAAAGCUAAAUAUUGGCGAGAGACCGAUAGCGAACAAGUACAGUGAUGGAAAGAUGAAAAGAACUUUGAAAAGAGAGUGAAAAAGUACGUGAAAUUGUUGAAAGGGAAGGGCAUUUGAUCAGACAUGGUGUUUUUUGCAUGCACUCGCCUCUCGUGGGCUUGGGCCUCUCAAAAAUUUCACUGGGCCAACAUCAAUUCUGGCAGUAGGAUAAAUCAUUAAGAAUGUAGCUACCUCGGUAGUGUUAUAGCUUAUUGGAAUACUGCUAGCUGGGAUUGAGGACUGCGCUUCGGCAAGGAUGUUGGCAUAAUGGUUAAAUGCCGCCCGUCUUGAAACACGGACCAAA
RNAcentral lists this ribosomal RNA (621 nucleotides) under Hanseniaspora opuntiae. Its description in RNAcentral is "eukaryotic LSU rRNA". It matches the Rfam family "Eukaryotic large subunit ribosomal RNA", at positions 32 to 670 of the family's 3401-position model. Lineage: Eukaryota; Fungi; Ascomycota; Saccharomycetes; Saccharomycodales; Saccharomycodaceae. The record is from RNAcentral.